Odocoileus virginianus texanus is the source of this 434-nucleotide non-coding RNA. The record is from RefSeq and is a predicted model, not a curated record. NCBI's taxonomy places the organism in Eukaryota, Metazoa, Chordata, Mammalia, Artiodactyla, Cervidae.
GGCCUUCACACACACACUUCUCUUUCAAAUACCCGGCUGAGUCACAGGUACCCUUUGUAGAAAAGAAAAUAAUAAUCAUGUAUGGGUGUCAUUAGAGAGUGUAUUUUUUCUCUUGAUAUUAUAUCAGAUUUCCUCUUAUCCUCUUGAUUCAGAAGAUUUAAUACCAACAUGCCUGUUCUAAUCUGAUUUCUCUUGUUUUUCAGCAGAGGCUACAUUAUCUCGCUUCCUGGUCCCUAUUCUUCUCUUAAUUGGCUGGAUUGUGGGAUGCAUCGUAAUGGUUUAUGUUGUCUUCUCUUAGAAAGGCCAGAAGACUUCAGAUUGACAUCAUUUAGAAGAAUUAAGAAAAGCAUGAAAUGACAGAUUAUUAAAUGUUUCUCAUGUAAAUAACUGCAAUGUUUGACAUCACUUUAUAAACUUGCAUUUGUGAACUGUUA